RNAcentral lists this unclassified non-coding RNA (7267 nucleotides) under Homarus americanus (American lobster). RNAcentral describes it as "uncharacterized LOC121877374, transcript variant X5". The record is from RNAcentral. Lineage: Eukaryota; Metazoa; Arthropoda; Malacostraca; Decapoda; Nephropidae.
AUCGACCACUGAGUCGGGAAGUUUAGUCAGUAUAUCCCUAUCAGUUGGAGGAGAAGCAGGAUGGCUUUCUGACGCUGAGGUGAUACAGUGUUCAUAGUCUUCGUCCUACACGUCUGCCUACUCGUGGUCCACUAAGAAAGGCAAAGACUGUGAUGGUAUUGGCAACACAACAGCCAACGUCCACAACGUGAGCCCAGUCACUCAGUCUACAGCUAGCACCUGGUGGAGUAGGAGGUGGUGAGCGUAUUUUCAAGAUAUUUCGUCCAGGUGGGCGUUCUGAAGCACGUAAUUAAGGUCUCUUCUGCGAUCUGUGGUGUUCCACAAGUGACGGCUAGAAGGGCUGCUCUACAAGCAACCACCCUCUUCCUCCCAUUUUUGCUGAUUGGCUCUCCUGGUGUGGGUUGUCACCACAUUGGGUAAGUUGGUCAGCUACUCACCACUAUCCUUGAGAAGAAUCUGUUUGUUUAAUGCGGGUUGUCACCGCAUUGAAGGAAUAGAAAACUUCAUCCCAUACACCUGACCCAAGGGUCAGUUGAUAAACCAGGUAAAUUCUCCAACUGAAUACUUCAUUUCAAAGCACCGAGAUGGUUGCUUCAUAUAAAACUGGGAAUCCUGUGCGUUCAUUUGUUCGUGUGCCAGGAAGUGGGACAGACAAGAAGGCAAAGUCUCUAUGCUGGGACCUUUCACGCUCCUCAACAGUUGCUGCAGCUGUCCAAGUUGAACCAACACUUCCAUCAGCAAUCACAAUAACAACAUUGAUAAAGUCAUCAGAAUCCACCAAGGAAGAUGGCAAAACUGGUUAUGAGGACGAAGUGACUGUUGCUCAGCCUGCCAGUCAAACUGAGGAAUUAAGGCAUAAUCAAUCGGAAGAUGAUUCAAGACCAGCAGAUGUUGCCAAGGCAGCUGGCAAUGAAAUUCAAGGAGCUGUGGCACAGACGACAACCCCCACUGCAGUAUCAUCGCAGUCAGAUGACAAUUCAGAUGUUAAGUCUGGAGGGAGAAAUGAUAGAUCAGAGGUAAACACACGCAAAAGGCCAUACACAGUGGAGCCUGAAGAAGGAGACCAAAAUGAAUCGAGUAGCAGUGAGCCUCGAGCAAAGUUUGCCUGUGUGUGUGGAAAAACAAGAGAAAGCAGUUCCGUGGACGAUCCUACCACGGUUAUGUCGCCAAAAAUCCAAGAAACAAAGGUAAAAGAGUCUGUUUCAGCGGAGGUAUCCAAGCUAGCACAAGAGCUUGAGCAAGUGAGACAACAAAAUCAAGAGCUCCAGAAGCGAUUGAAACUAUUUCAUGAGCUGUUCAACGACAAAAAGCGAUUGGCUCUGGUGGUAAAACAUUUGGGUGUAUCAGUCAACUAAAAAUGAAUAAACAUGUUGUUAUUAAACAUGUUAUGCUACCUUUCUAAUAGAAACUUAAGAGCAGGACACAUGGUUUCACAUUAAUGAUUUAUGAAUCUUCUAGUGACAUUUGUAACAAUGAUUAAAAUUAAAUUUAUGAUUUUUUUUUUUUUACUUUUGGAGUUGUACAGUGUGUCUCAGGUUGUGCACCUUAGCUUUAUUAGUUCCUUUUUAUGCUUUUCCGUGUGAAGGAAUGGUAGCAUAUCUAUUGAGAUAUACAGCACUAACUCCUGAGUAAGAAAUUGAGAGGUGUGAGGUCUGGGGACCUUGGUGGCCAUUUGAUUAAUCCUUGUUGCUCAAUUUUCAUUAAAUUGUUAAAAUUUCCUCACCCAAAUAAGAACAUUAAUUUUCUUAUGGGAUGUGGACAAAUAGAAACCCAGUAGAAAAGGUUCCUUGUGGGUCACAUUGGCUUCAUCAGUCCACACCCUUGGAUAAUGAACUAAACUUGGGUACUGUGAGGAAUUGUGCAUUUUUUCUUGCCAUGUCAGGGGACACUGAAGAUGAGGCAUUGUUUACACAGCAUUAAUUGGUGUAAAGUUGAUUUUAGUAAAACCAGUACCGGUACUGUACAGUACUUGUGAUGAUCACCAAUUACAGUAUCAUAAAAAUCGUGAGUUAAUAAUAAAGACUCUGUAUCUAAUUAUUGGUUAGUGUAUUGAGAUAUACUCUACUGUAAGAAAAAUACAAGUUGUUUUCCUUCAAGCACUAUGGGUAUUAAAUUCAUGUAACUAUUAAGAUACUGUACCAGGAUGGUCGCCCGAUGCAGCAAUGUAUAAAAUGUUAAGCAUUCUCAGUGAUCCAUGGAGAAGCCAUUGUUAACCUAUUUCCUUUCCUAUUUUUGUUGAAUAGCCUUGGUAUUCUGUAGUCCUAAACAAUAAACAAAGCCAUACUGUAUUGAUGAUAUCCAUUUAAUGUUUUCCCAAGUAAAAUCAUAAACUUAGAUUGAGAAUUUUGCCCCCUUAUACCGAAUUAUUAUAAUUUUAUUCAAGUGUUUAGGUUUCUUCCUCCUUCUAGUCGUUCAUAUAAGUUUGAGUACAAAGAAAGACAAAAGUCGUGUCAUGAAAUUUGGUGAAAACAUGUGCCAAAGGGCUAAACUUUUGGUUUGCUCUGCCUUGUGGUAGGGGGCUCUCAUAAUGUUUCACGAGUUAUAUUUAAUCUUCGGAUAAAACCGCGACACAACUUUUGUCUUUGAUUGUACAGGUACACUUAUAUUUCCGACAUUUAUUAUGGUAUGAAGGCAAACUUCCAUUUAUUGUAUCACUUCAUUAACUAAUAAGAGAUUACUUGGUGAUUAAAUGGAUCAGAAUCCAAAAACAGAACAUAGGAAUAUUAUACAUGGUGCCUCAUAGGUUACUUGCCUUAUGAAAAUAACUGUUCCUCUUUUAUUCAGGUGAGGCAAUCAUAAAUCAACAAUGAUGCCAUAUUUAUGUUGACACUAAAGGGAAGUCGCCUUGAUAUUCAUGUAUGGAAUGUUAACGGACUCUUUCCUCUCGUUAAUUUUUGUCGUCCUUGUUGAUAUAAUGGGAUCUUCUCCCCUGAAAAAUUAAUAAAAGGAAAUGUGACCCGUGAGACUCCUUAUAUUGUACAGUACUGUAAUAUUUAUAUUUUUUUUUCGAAACAUUUUGCUUGCUCAGCGUUCUUUUCUUUAAGGCAUUGGUGCUACCCAAAUACUUAGAAUGAAAAAGAUUUGAUUAUAUUUUGACAAAUUAAAAAGUUUUGAAAAUGGGCUUCAUGAAGUUGAUGGAAACCUUUAUGAUAAUAGGAAGUAACAUAGGAAUCAGUAUCUUUACAGUUGGCUUUUUAGUUAGAUAAAGAUGUUAAAAGAUAGGAUGGCCUCAAGCUAAAUAUCCCAGUGCUUAAAUGUUUGGCUGAUUUUGUAUUACAUUACUUUCUUUUAGCAAGGAACUAUUUUUUUGUGUCAUAUAUGUCACCGAUGAUUCCAUGUGGCGAGGAGUCGGUUAUCCAGUGUGGCGAGGUGCCAGUGUUCUAUAAUGAUUUGUCAUUAAAUCCAUGUGGCUAGGUGCCAGUUAUCCAGUGUGGCGAGGUGCCAGUUAUCCAAUGUGGCGAGGUGCCAGUUAUCCAGUGUGGCGAGGUGCCAGUGUUCUAUUAUGAUUUGUGUCAUUAAAUCCAUGUGGCGAGGUGCCAGUUAUCCAGUGUGGCGAGGUGCCAGUUUUUUCUGUGAAUGUUGUGGGUGCAUCACCCAGGGCAUUAUUAUACACUUGUUCAUUACAUCUAUUCUGUAUUAGGUUUUGUAAUUUAUUAUGGAAAAGAAUAUACCACAAAUAUUUAUGAACUGAUAAUACUAUUAACUUAUCAUAACUGCAAAAAUUUAUAUUGAUAUUUGGUUAAGACAGAAGUUUUAUUUUGUUAUGUUUUGUGGUGUAUUUAAUUUUUGCUUUGUUAGUUAUUAUAAGUUGAAGGAGUCUGCCUGUGGUCCAGUCAGUUCCCUCAUCCAUCGAAUUUACCGUGGCCGAAGGACAUUUGGCCGACGGACAGUUGAUUUAUUUUUUAUUUUUCUUUCUUCUUUGCAAUGUAUUUUUUGCACAUUUACUAAAGGAUAAAAGAUAUUUAUUGUAAUGUAAAUGCUUCUUUGCAAUGUAUUUGCUUUAUAAAACAAAGGAUAAAAAGAUGACAAUUUCAAUGUGAUACAUUUGCAUGAUAUAGUUUUUUUUUAUGUUACUUUUAAGACCAUGGAAUUCAUACCAACGACAAGAGGAGGAAGAUGGCAUUUGCUUGAAGGCUACGCCUACAUCGUUGAUAAACGGAAAGACAAUGUAAUAUAUUGGCGAUGUGAAUGCAAAGGAAGUUGUUGGGGACGAUUGAAAACAGAAGACGACGUUAUUCAAGGAGAAGCAAGUAAUCACUCACGUCCUCCUGAUGCUGGACGUAACCUGUCCUUGAAAACAGUAAAGAAAAUUAAAGAAAGAGCCUGACAGUUGGGAGGAAGUGACAUCGACUAUUAUACAAAACUGCACCAGUGAGUACCCACUUGAUGCUGCAGGUGCUCUUCCUAUGAAAGAAACUCUGGCAAGAAUGGUGCACAGACAACGCAUGGCACCAGACGGGGACUUAUUAACUGACGACUUACGGAAAUCAAUUAGAGGAGAAGACUUUGUCAUCCAUUAAAGUGACAACCUGCUAAUUCUGUCAACACCUCGAAACUUACAGCUUCUUGCUUUCAAAGACCACUGGUCAACAACUUCCUUUGCGUUCACAUCGCCAAUAUAUUACAUUGUCUUUCCGUUUAUCAACGAUGUAGGCGUAGCCGUCAAGCAAAAGCCAUCUUCCUCCUCUUGUCGUUGGUAUGAAUUCCAUGGUCUUAAAAGUAACAUAAAAAAAAACUAUAUCAUGCAAAUGUAUCACAUUGAAAUUGUCAUCUUUUUAUCCUUUGUUUUAUAAAGCAAAUACAUUGCAAAGAAGCAUUUACAUUACAAUAAAUAUCUUUUAUCCUUUAGUAAAUGUGCAAAAAAAAAAUUGCAAAGAAGAAAGAAAAAUAAAAAAUAAAUAAAAAAUGCCAUAUGUCCAUUCAGCCAAAUGUCCGUUCGGCCAGAUGUCUGUUUGGUCAAAUGUCCGUCGGUGAAAUGUCCGUCGGCCAUCUGUCCGGGAGCCAAAUUUACACUUUAUUCGUUAAACUGCAGUUGAUAUUGUUCUCAAGUCGUAGGUGGCACUGACGAUGUUUGCCUUUUAUCAUAACUUGAUCCUGGCACUUAUUGAAUGUUGUACAGGUAACCUGCACUUUGAUACACAAUACUUUAAAACCUGUUGUACUUUCAGGGCUUCUCUUAUGUAAUGUACAUGACUUUGGUUGUGAACAUCCUCAGUGUCAUUGACUUAAUUUGUAAGGAAAAAAUUAGUACUUGACUAGCAAAUGCCUUUUCUUCCAGCUGCUGCUUUCUUAUCUAGAACAAGAUGUUCACAGUAAAGCAUGAGGGUAAAAUUAGUUAUAAAAUUUAAUAAAAAAAAUGUUUACUGAAAAUAGUAUUUAAGCUUUUUCAGCAGUAUUAAAUAUCUUGGUAGCUGCUGUUCUAAGGAUAUAAUGAUAAUUGUAGUUGAAUGAAUGUAAUUAAUAUAUUGUAUACUGUACACCUUUGUAUGUUUUGUGCAUUAUAUACUUACUCCUCCAGCUAUUUAUGUAUGAUACAAGUGCCAGUCAUGUACAUUUUGGUGAAUAUAUCACUAAGUAAGUACAGCAGUUCUCUACUAGGUUGGAGUUUCCUUAAGCUGCGGUCACACGAGAGUUUCUCCCGGAAUAAAUCCACCAUAGGGAAAAUGUCAGAGUAAUGAAAAAUAAUAAAACUGUAAUAAGGGUAAAUCACGACAGGAAUUUCAUUUGACUCUGGGAGUACAGUACAGGGUACUUGCAUCACUUAUGUAUACAAAUAUUGCCUGGACGCUAGUCAUUUUAUAUAUAUAUGCAAGUAAAUCACUGUGGGUGCACGUGAUCCAGGUACAUAAUGAUAACCACAAGGAAAGAAGAAAACACGAAGUUCCCAAGCGCUUUCGUGCAAUUCACAUCUUGUUUAGCAGGACCACACAUCUCACUAAAGCGGUUAAUGCUGCCAUCCUGCUCUCCAACUGAGCUCAAACAUGCUGCAUGAGCUGGGCGCCUGGCUGAUGGUUCCUUUUGCCAGUGUGCGGAUCACACCAUUAACUUAUUGCCUGUGGAUAAACUGCUAUCAUGGAUAUCUUGCACGGAACACUAGUGUGACCGUUAAGCUACAGUCAUACUAGAGUUUUAAGAGUUUUCUGUGCAAUAAAUCCAUAAGUUAAUGGUGUGAUCCGCACACUGGCCAAAGGAACCAUCAGCCAGGCGCCCAGCUCAAGCAGCAUGUUUGAGCCCAGUUGGAGAGCAGGAUGGCAGCAUUAACGCUUUAGUGAGAUGUGUCGUCCUGUUAAACAAGACCAAAAUUGAAUAAAUAAAUAAAAUUGUAGCGUCCAGGCGAUGUUUAUAUUCAAAAGUGAAACAAGUACAGUACUGAUGAGUUGAAUGAAAUUCACGUCAUGAUGUAUUGUUCAUUUACCAUGACAUUUUUGCUCGUGUUUUGUUAUUGAUCUAAUACACUUUUUAUAUUUUUGUAUGUUUUGGCGUUAAAAAGAAAAAAAUAAUGUGGUGUAAAUUUAAUAAAUACAAUAUUCUCUACAACAAAUGUCAACCCACAGUACUGACGCUCAGUAUCGUCCCACUUUUGACAACAAAUAAGUUGUCUCUGAAAAAUCAACACUACGGUGGAUUUAUUCCGGGAGAAACUCGUGUGACCGCAGCUUUAUUAGCACUUUAUUUUAUGAUUUUUUAAUUUUGCCUCUGCUAAAUCAAUACAAAACCAAGUAUUGUACUGUAGUAUCAGAAAUAAUUACCCUAAGUUUAAACUACUGUAUAAGCCAAACUUAUUUGUUGAAAACUGUUGAAUGAGGUCAAGAAAGUUACAUUGUAUAUAUAUAACUAGACUUUCGUUUGAUCUCACAAAGUUGUGCACGUUUUGGUAUUGGUAAAACACGAUACCUUGAGACGUAUUUAUAUAGACUAUAGCACUUAAGAUUUUCUGGUUUACAAUGUUAAUACUUAAGUAUUGAGGUUAUGGUUUACAAUAUUAAUGCUUCCAUAAAGGAAUAUAUUAUGUAAAGGAUUGUUCUGUAGUUAUUAUUGCAAACUAAUACAGGUCCCUCAGAGUACGGUAAUGGAAACCUGUUGAGAUGAUGUCUGUAACAAGUACGGCAGACUGUACUGGACAAAAAUUUUUCUGUAAUCCCAUUAAGACAAAAAUAUUAGAAACUAGAAUUUGUGGAAAAAGUGCCACUACAUUCAUGUCAAUAUACUGUAGUAUAUUUGUUUUGUAUAUACAUAUACUGUAUAUUAAAUAAAAAUUUCACUAGUA